Molecule: ribosomal RNA, 420 nt
Filed under: bacterium
Lineage: Bacteria
Description: partial 16S ribosomal RNA
Rfam family: Bacterial small subunit ribosomal RNA
Source: RNAcentral
UGGGGGAUAUUGCACAAUGGGCGAAAGCCUGAUGCAGCGACGCCGCGUGGGGGAUGAAGGCUUUCGGGUUGUAAACCUCUUUCGCUAUCGAACAAGGCCCGCUUAGGGUGGGUUGAGGGUAGGUGGAGAAGAAGCGCCGGCUAACUACGUGCCAGCAGCCGCGGUAAUACGUAGGGCGCGAGCGUUGUCCGCAAUUAUUGGGCGUAAAGGGCUUGUAGGCGGCUUGUUGCGCCUGCUGUGAAAACGCGGGGCUUAACUUCGCGCGUGCAGUGGGUACGGGCAGGCUUGAGUGUGGUAGGGGUGACUGGAAUUCCAGGUGUAGCGGUGGAAUGCGCAGAUAUCUGGAGGAACACCGAUGGCGAAGGCAGGUCACUGGGCCAUUACUGACGCUGAGGAGCGAAAGCAUGGGUAGCGAACAGG